This 22622-nucleotide long non-coding RNA is filed under the name Citrus maxima (pomelo). RNAcentral describes it as "long non-coding RNA (CMAX_LNC002831)". Lineage: Eukaryota; Viridiplantae; Streptophyta; Magnoliopsida; Sapindales; Rutaceae. The record is from RNAcentral.
UCUUGAACUUGGGUACGUUGCUAUCUUCUUUAGCAUGUCCAUAUUGCCCUUAUCCUACUCCUCCCCCUCCGUGUCCCCCAACAUUUCCACCAAAACACCCUCCACAUGUAAAGCCACCUUUCCACCCCAAACCACCGCAUCACAAGCCACCCCAUGUCAAACCACCGCACAAGCCCCCGUAUGUUCCUAAACCACCUUAUUCCCCAAGCCCUAAACCGCCUUACGUGCCAAAACCACCUCAUACUCCAGUCCCUAGGCCACCAUAUUUCCCCAAACCACCUUACACACCAAGGCCUAAGCCACCAUAUGCGCCAAAACCACCUUAUACGCCAACCCCUAAGCCACCAUAUUUCCCCAAACCACCUUACACACCAAGGCCGAAGCCACCAUAUGUGCCAAAACCACCUUAUACGCCAGCCCCUAAGCCACCAUAUUUUCCCAAACCACCUUACACACCAAGGCCUAAGCCACCAUAUGCACCAAAACCACCUUAUACGCCAACACCUAAGCCACCAUAUUUCCCCAAACCACCUUACACACCAAGGCCUAAGCCACCGUACGUGCCAAAACCACCGUACACACCAAGGCCUAAGCCACCGUACGUGCCAAAACCACCAUACACACCAACCCCUAAGCCACCGUACGUGCCAAAACCACCUUACACCCCAACCCCUAAGCCACCGUACGUGCCAAAACCACCGUAUACCCCAACUCCUAAGCCACCGUACGUCCCAUCGCCACCUUAUACCCCUCGCCCUAAACCACCGUAUGUACCAUCACCACCUUAUACCCCUAGCCCUAAACCACCGUAUGUGCCAUCACCACCAUAUACCCCAAGCCCUACCCCACCAUAUGUACCAUCACCACCGUAUACCCCAAGCCCACCAUAUGUACCAUCACCACCGUAUACCCCAAGCCCUAGCCCACCACCACCACCAAGUGGAACACCGUGUCCUCCGCCGCCGCCACCAAAGGUGAGACCGUACCCUCCACCACCAUCACAAACUUGUCCCAUUGAUACUCUCAAGCUUGGUGCAUGCGUCGACGUGUUGGGCGGUCUAAUACACAUCGGUAUAGGCAGCAGUGCAAAGGACGCUUGCUGCCCCGUGCUGCAGGGGCUACUGGACUUGGAUGCUGCAUUAUGUCUUUGCACCACCAUUAAACUUAAGCUUUUGAAUAUCAAUCUUAUUAUACCGAUCGCCCUUGAAGUGCUUAUUGACUGCGGCAAGCAUCCGCCGCCCGGAUUCCAGUGUCCUGCCUAAUUGGUGACGCUUUCCAGCCAUGCAAUUGAUGAAUGCGACUUGUUUGUUUUGGAGAUUUUGUCAAAGAUAAUGACAUGUAAGUGCAUAAAGUGGAAGUACUUCAUGAUAUCGAAGUUUGUCUUAAUAUAUGUUUUGUUCCUCUUGUGCAUAUCAAACCAAUUAUCUUUGGAGCAAAAUCUAUGUUUUGAUGGAUCCAUACUAUCUGCAAGUUUGGGAUCAUGGGGUGUCAAAUAAUCGCUUAUUUGACCCAAAUUUUAUUUGAGUUGUCCAAUUAGUUGUAACCAUCAAAUAAUUUAUUAUCACACAUAAUUUUGAGAGUAAAUUCUCAAUUGACCAUUAAAAAAAAUAAUCACAACCGACAAAUUCAAAACAGAUACUAUCAUCGUGGAAAGAAAUAUUAAUUAUGCAUUUGGAUUCUGAUAUAAGAUACGCUGAUCUUUUGAUGAUAUCCAUUUUCGCGCCUACAUAAUUCAGAUUCAACCACAAUUUUAUUGUUAUCCAAUAGCUAUUAAUAAAAUAUUAUAUUAAAAAAAAGCACAAAACUUGACCGGCACUGAAUUUAUAUUCAUUGAUUAUACUAAUGGAACCUUUCAUUUGAUGAAUUUAAUUGUUCAAUGAAAAAUAACUAGCUGAAACAGUUGAAGACGGGGUGAUUUCUCACCUCGAAAAGAGAGAGAAUUCCCCCAAAGUGCCGCUUGAUAGGAUUUGAUUUAAUUUAAUUUAAUUUAAUUUUAUGCCUUGCCCUUAAAUAAUGUGGAGUAGAGAUUGCUCUUAUUAUUGAUUCAAAAUCAUUAGAUAUGCAUUAUUAUAAAAACUUUAUAGUAAUUAUUCAAUGAAAGAGAAUUAUUAUUAAUAUCAUUUUCUUUCCAGACUGAUUAAUCAAUGAUUGUUUUGCAGGAAUGGAGCAUUAUAUGAAUUUCAGUCCAAUAACAUUUAAACAGCUCUCUUUAAGAAUGAAUUUGAGUUUUAGGCUACACAAGAUAAUCUGCCGUAUCCCUUGAUUUAACAUUCUAGUUAUUAAUUGUACGUACACAAAAAAAAAAAAAAAUCAUGGAGUGAUUGAUUUUUCCCAAACAGUUAUACUGUAGAUCAUUAAAGAAAAUAUAAAAAAAUAAAAGUUGAAACGAGUGGCCUAAACAGUAAACUUUGGGUGAAAGUUACAGAUAAUAUUUAAUUACGAUGGAGUUUUUUUUCCCCCCUUUUUUGCAUUUCUGAAACGUGUUGCCUGAUUUAACAGAGAAAAGGGAAAAUUUGAUGGUUGACACUUGGUAAUGAUUUAUAAGUAAUUUAAGGAUUUUUCUAUAAUGCUGUAUGUACUUUUACAGCAUUAAUAGUGCAGUUAUUAUAAACCCUUUGAUUUGAGUGAUUUAAUCUUAGUCAUUUAUUUAAUAUAAUAAAUAAAUAAGUAAUUAAUUAAAAGCUAGCAAGUAACUUGUAAGUUGUAGGUAAAUAUUAGUUUUUUAAUUUUAAAUUAAUAUUAACUUUAUAGCAUUUAAUAUAAGUUAUCAGAACGAGAUGCAUGUAAUCCAAGUUGAUCAUCGAGUUCAUGAUCAUGACCCUGCUGCUUGGUCAAUUGAGAUCUUUCCGACAGUACCACAUGAAAAUUCAUUUUGUCGAGGAGCUGCUGAAGUUGUACAGGAAGAAACAGAAUCCAAUCUCUCUAGUCCGACCGGUACAUUUCUCCAGGUCGCCGCCCACCAGGGUCUGGCCGCGUUGGCAGUCGAAUUUGGCGGUGGCAUUCUCUGCUGGAGAACGGGAAAAUUCUCUUGUGCUCCGUGGAACUCUGUAGUGCAGCUGGAUUCAUUGCUUGCUGUGGUGGUUAUAUCUUAGAACGUAGAGGCAAAGCUAAAUUGGCUUGCUCAGAUUAUGACAGGAGUGGGAGGUGUUGCCACUGCCAGUAGAUUUAUAAAUGGUAUGAAAAAACUACAUUAAUAACUGUGCAAGAUCAUGUGAGAAGGAACCCGUCGAGCUGGAGAUGAUCAAAUCAAGGAAGGCAUUGAAGGGCGAGGCGGAGAGAAGGAGAACAGAAUCAGAGGCUGAGAUGACUCAGAUGACGAUGCAAACUCAAUUGCAGAUCGUCCUUUGUUGAGGGGAUGAAUUCGAGUCGAAAGAGGAAGCGCGAUGAAGAAGACGAAUCACGAGUUUCUCAGAGGUAAAAUUCUUGAACAUGUCAAUGGUUAAUCAUUCAGGAACUUGAGACACUCUUUAAGAAUCCAAUUUCCUUCAAGAACAUGAGAGAAAAAACCGAUGGUUAAAUUUAUGAGAUAAAUAAAGAGAUUUUAUUUUAUCAAAUUUUUUAUCUCUUUUUUAAUCUAAAACAACCUUUUCAACCGGUUUGUUAACCGAUUAUAGUAUUUUUUAAAUGAUUAAAUUUUUCAUUAAUAAAAAUAAUGUGUACCGUUGAUUAGAUCUAAUGGCAUAUAUUUCUUACACUAUUGAUGCUGUAAAAAAAAUUACGGUAUCAUAAAGGGACUCGUAAUUUAAUCCUAAGUGUUUAGGGAGAGCAGUGACCUCUUGAAAAAUCCUCUUGUUACACUUUUUUUUUUCAUUUUUUUCUACUCCUUUAUUUAUUUAUUUUAAAUCCUUAAUUAAUUAUAAUACAUAUAUAUAUUUUUUUUUCCAAAAAAGUUUCUAUCAAAUUGAUAACAUGUAGAUACACAAUGUCAGAAGGAUUUCUAUCCUUGGUAUCAGUCAUUGUGGAACAAUUCAAAUGAAUAUACAGACAACGAGAAAGAGGUAUCAAUACCCCCUCAGAUUUCUCACAAUUACUAACACAUGCGAGGAUUGCUUUUAUUAUUAACAGUUACAAACCCCCUCUAAAUGGAGUUAGCUCUUUUCGAUAGCGGAAAGCAGUGGUAUUACCAUCGUGGUGGGGCAAAAUUUAGAAACUGUAUUUAGGAUAGACUACGAUAAAAAUAUAAAAAGACAUCAACUUUUUCAAGAAAACGGGCGACGAGCUAGUUUGGUUGGGAAUACUAUAAUUUUUAAAAUAAUUGUAAUUAGUAUUACAGUAAAAAUUAUUAAUUAUGAAGAAAAUCAAUUAAAUAUUUAAUAAAAUUUAUUUUUUAAAAAUGUUAUGAGUUAUAAAAGCAGUCAUAUAUAUUUAGUAAAUUUAACUGUUAAACUACUGUAAGAAUAUAAAUGAUUGAAUUAGAUGUUAAGAAAAAUGUAUUUAGAUAUUUAUAAACAUGUAUAUAUAUAUAUAUAUAUAUUAUUGUGUAUACAUAAUAAUUGAUAACUAGAAAUAAAUAUUUUAUAUUAUUAAUUUUAUUUUUAUCUUGUUAUCUCAAUAUAAUUGGUAAUAAUAAUAAUCUCUUUAAAGUUAAUGAUUUUAUUACCUAAUUAAUAAGGAUAAUUUUAGAUUUUUAUAAUUUAUAUAAGGAUACAUAUGAAAUUGUAUACAAUAUAAAGUUGAUUUUCAAAAUCAAAUUUUAAAAAGCUACUCAUUUCUUACUUUUCAAGUGCAUCCGAAAAAUUGGAUAUUUGGAUCUGGUUAAAUUUUAUUUUAAAUUAAAAACUAAAUUAAAAAUAUUUAUUAAAAUUAAAUUAAAAAUUAAAAAUUAAAAUUUAUUUGUCAAUUUAUGUUGUUGUUGUAUGCUAUUCAUGUUGAAUUAUUAAUUGUUGAAUUAUGAUUGAAUUUUAUUUGAUAUUAUUAGGUAAAUUAUUGAAGGUUAUUUUAAAUUAAAAGUAAAUAUUAAAAAUUAAAUUGUAUUUGUGGAUCUUUAUGAUGUUGUUGUAUGUUACUCAUGUUUAAUUAUUAGUUGUUGAAUUAUGAUUGAAUUUUAUUAGGCAAAUUAUUGAAUUUUUAAAUUAUAUGUUAAAUUAUUGAAUUAUGACUUUUGCAGAUCUAGAUAUCCAAAAUAUCUGCCCACAUCUGUUGCGGAUAUAACCUGUAUCCGGAUUCACAUAUUUUUUUGCGGAUUCAGAUGUAGAUCCAAAUGUAGAAAUGUAAUGCAGAUAUAGAUGCAGAUGCACCUAUAUCAGGAUUCGGAUCCAGAUUUUGUCAACCCUAUUUCCCGCACUUUAAAAUUCUAGACCAAAAAACUACUAAUAUAUAUAGGGAAUAAUCUUUGAGUGAUAAUUAUAGAUUAUAAGAUUGUGGGGCUUUGAUUUUUUUUAAAAUUAUAUAAGUGUUUAGUUGAAUUUUUAUUGAAAAAAAUAAUUUUAACUUGGGUUAUUUAUGUAUUUUCAAUUGAAUAGGGGUUUAUAAAUACUUUUGUGGGGGUGUUACUAACAAUACUUCUUUUUCUUUUGGGGCGUGGGGCGUGGGGCGUGGGCUAUAAGUAUGGGUCAUGGCGAUCUAGCAUGUCCUCAUUGGCACCCUAAAAAAAUCCUCUUAGAAAUUUCAUUUUCAAUUAUAUUCUAUUUAGUGGUAAAGAUAAUAUUUUUUUCCCAUUAAAUAGACACUAAUUUCAUUUAUAAAUAUCUCAAGUUUUAAUAAUUUUCUCACUCUUGAAGUCUUAAUAUUUGUAUUCUUCUCUUCAAACUUUCUUUAUUAUUUAAUUUCUAUAAAAAAAUCUAAAAGAGAAAAAGUAAGAAAAACCUUAUACUUAGAAAAAGUAAGAAAAAGCUUAUUAUACAUAUAAGCUUUGGGUGGAGCGAUUAGUUUGAGAAUCCUCAAAAUUAUUUGAAGUGGGAUAAAAUUUUAUUUAGAGUAAUGAUAUAGUCACAAACUCUUGUACAAACUUAUUUUGUACACACUGAUGUGGCACGAUAAAAUUGGCUAAAUUAAAUAUCUCUUGACCCACAUGAUUUAUUUCUAUUAUUUUAUAUUUUCAUUCAACUAAUGAAUUAAUACCACAUCAGUUUGUGCAAAAUAAGUUUGUACAAGAAUUUGUGACUGUAUCAUCACUCUUUUAUUUAAUUUAUUUUCCAUUAUGUUGUAUCCUAAUUUGGUUGCUAUGUUUAUUACAAGAAUUUUGUUUUCGAUUAUAGAAUUACUAUGCAAGUAAAGUAAGUUGCAAAGAGAGAGAGAAAAUGUAAGUGGGUUAAUCUUAAUUCUAUUAAUAUUUGUCCUUAAAUAUGUAAUAUAAUAUAAGCAGAGUUUUAUGAGAUUAAUAAAGGGAUGCCAAUAGUCGACUGGUUAGGCGGGACCCCUACCUGUAAUAUAAAUCAUAAAAUGAAGCGAAUACACAAGGAGGGGGACAUAAACCAAAACCUCAAAGAGUAACUAAAAAUACACACGAAUAACUAAAAAAGAAUAAAGACAACAAAAAGAAAAGGAAAACCAUAAAUGCCAGCAUCUUAUGUGAGAAACAAUCUAUGCAUCCAAAUGGAGAAUACCAGAUAAGUCUGUAGGAAGAUCUUAAGGACAUAAGAAACACUGACUAGAUGAGACCAUGCCCAAUUGACCAAAAAAUUAGCAGCAGAGGUAGCCUUAUGAAACAGUCAGCUCUUAUAGUUUAUACAUGAGCCAACCUACUAAAUUUUUCAUUCAAUGUUAAACUUAUCUUGCCAAUUAUGCCAAUGACACAAUCUUGGGCGUUUAUAUAAUUUCAAUAAGAGUGAUAAAAGAUUUUGAUUGCAACAAAGUAUUUAUACAUAUUGUAUUUAUAUCAAUUAAUUGAGUAAUGACUCUAGCAUGGUUUGAACCCUCCCGACUAUAUAUAUAUAUAUAUAUAUAUAUAUAUAUAUAUAUAUAUAUAUAUAUAUAUAUAUAUAUAUAUAGAAAUGUUUAAAUCCAGAAUUUUAAAGUGCGGAAACGUCCGGGAAAAUGUAUAAACCGUGCGGUUUAAGCGCUUUAAGUUUUCCCGGACUUUUCCCGCACUUUAUGAUCCCGGAUAAAAAAACUACUAUAUAUAUAUAUAUAUAUAUAUAUAUAUAUAUAUAUAUAUAUAAGAGUGCUGGUAUAACAAUAUUGUAUAAUAAAUAUUUAAUUAGUUUAACAUUCGUAUUUAAUAACCACCAAUAAAAGUCUUGCAUUUUGAUUAGAUAAGGUAUAAAAGGGUUGCAGUUUUUAUUUCAUAUUGUAAUGAUAGUACUUUUAAAAUACAGUAUAAAAAUAAGGAUUAGAUUCCUCUCCUGGUUUAAGCAUUCAUGACCUUUUAAUAAUCUUAUUCCAUAUGUCAUGUAGUAAUAGUGUAUGGAUAGAAUAUAUUUUAAAUUUAUUAACCACCAAUGAACACAUAAAUUUUUAUUUAGAAGAAGUUCAAAUCAACAGAUUUUAAUCCGUGAACAUAAUAGAGAUCGAAGAGAAACUACAACUCAAAUAAGAAAAAAAGCCUUACAACUUCAUUUAACAAAUAUUAAAAAAGCCUUACAACUUCAUUUAAUAAAUAUUAAAAAAGCCUUACAACAUUUAUAUUAGAUUCACGAGCAACAAGGGAUCAAUAUUGAACAUGACAUGCAAUUAUUACAUCGAGACAUGAAUGUGUCUUCAAGUAUUAUACGAACUUGAAGCUCUCACACGUUAUUGUUAUUCUUUUAUGAGAAAAUAAACGAAACUAGUAACAUAUAAAAUAUUAAUAUGGUCAAUUAAUAUAUAUAUGUAUGUAUGUAUAUUUCCCUCAGAAACUGCAUAUGCGUGGGGCGUCACCAAUUAAUUAAUGGGUGGACACUGAAAUCCUGCUGGCGGAUACUUGCCACAGUCGUUGACAAGUACUUGCAGGGAGAUGGGUACGAGAAGAUUGAUGAGAUUUGGAGCCUUAAUUCUAAUGGCAGUGCAAAGACAUAUUGCAGCAUCCAAAUCUACUAGCCCAUGAAGCAAUGGGCAGCAUUUCUCCUUAGCACUGUCGCCAAGACCAAUGUGAAUUAAACCACCAAGAACAUCGACACAUGCACUAAGCUUGAGAGCAUUAAUGGGACAAGUUUUUUGUUGUUUUGGUGGCGGUGGGUAUCUCACGUUUGGUGGUGUUGGUGGCGAUUUUACAACUGGAGGAGGAGUUGGUUUUUCCUUUGGCGGUGGUGGUGGUUUCACAACUGGAGGAGGAGGAGUACUGGGUUUCACCUUUGGUGGUGGUGGUGGUUUUACAACUGGAGGAGGAGGAGUGGUUUUCACCUUUGGUGGGGGUGGUGGUUUUACAGCUGGAGGAGGAGGAGUUGGUUUCACUUUUGGUGGUCGGGGCGGCGGCUUAGGGCUCGGCGAAUGAGGCGGUGGGGGACAAUUUGGUGAAGAAGGAGGAGGAGGGGUUGGUUUGGAGCAGUCACAAGCUAAAGAAGAGAGCAAAGCACCCGAGUUCAGGAGGACAAUCAAGAAACUAGUUAAUUGAUAUUUGCCCAUGAUGAAAUAAUUUCGAAACUCUCUAAUGAACUAGCUAGCUAGGGUUUGGAAUGCAUUCACUAUUGAAUGAGUGCCUUUUUAUAGAGAGUAAGAAGUUUUGGAUUUUUAAAAUUUUUCAGUUUUAAUUCGUUGAUCCAUAGACUUAAGGGCAAAGUACAACCCAAGCCAACUCACGAAUGGACAGAUAGACAGACAUUAUAUAUUUUUUUCUUUAAUGCUUGGAACAUGGGAUUGAUUAUCGUUUUAAGGAAGAAGACUCGAUUGAUUAUUUAACCAAAAAGUUGGUAUAGUUAAUUAAGCGUAUUGUUCUUAUAAUUUGAAACGUAAAAUUUGCAAUUAAUCUCUAGCAAAUGCAAAACUUAAAACUCUAAUAUAACUUCUGCAUUAGAAUUUCGAAGGGCGUGGGGACCUGUACUCUCAAUUUCACAUGAAUAUUUGCAAGCUGUUCAAUCAUUGAAGACGAAUGCAAGCAACAAGCAUCUUGCGGGGACACUUCUUCAUUUUUCUUUGGGCCGUUACAUGAUAACAAUAUUUAUAGUUAUAUUAUUAGCCCAUUAACUAAUCUUAAUAUUAGAUAUUUUAACCUAUUAACUAAUCUUAAUAUGAGAUAUUUUUGUUAGUAUUUUUUACUAGUCCUUGUCAUGUAUAAAAUAGACCCACUAGUACACAAGUAAGAGUCUAUCUCAUGUAAAAAUUAACUCAAGAGUUGAGAGUUGUCUCAAGUUUAUAUUUAAUUCAAUAAGUUUUCUCAACCUAUCUGAGAUUUUUUCCUUAUCAUCCCCAUCACUUGCAAACCAAUAUAUCUUUUGUUUUUUUGGUCUUUAUCAUGCGGAAAAAUACAUAGUAUGUGCCAACUUGUGCAUAACUAUGAAUCUAAUACCAUAUAAAGGUAUGUGAGUCUAAUUCAUACUCUAAAAUUAGCUCAAGAGUUAAGGAUUACCUCUAAUUUAUAUUACUAGUUCAGUAACUAAUCUCAGCAUAUGGUGGCUCCACCAGAGGAAAGUGUUAUGCACCUAUAUACAUAAAUUAUAAUGAGUAAAAUUAUUCAUGAUGAUACAACCACAUUAAUGAAUAAUCAGUAGUAAUUGAACCAUGAAAGUGUCAUUCUUCGUUUAAGGGUGCCUUUGACAUAUUGUUUGCACACACAAAAAAAAAAAAAAAAGCGCUCAAAAAAGCCCCAAUUAAGGAUGUCCAUUGUACCCACAUAUGUCAGCAUAUGUGAGUUCUGAAACUCUUCAAAAAAAUACCUUUAUAUUAUUCGGAGUAUAAAUUUAUCUUGGAGAGUUUGGAGCAGAUUUGAUUUGGGUUUUCGUAAAAUUUAAUAUUCAAACAACUACUACUUCUUUAAAAGCAUAAAUAAACAAAUAAAUAAGGUGAUUAAUUUUUGUUUAAUUAGUGUGGUCAUUAAUUAUAGCGAUAUUGAAAUUUUAAUGCAUGAUCUUCUAAGAUUUGUUUUAGUUUUGAGAUUUCAGAUCAUAGUUGUUUGAUUUAUAUUUUAUUAUUUUGUGUUUUCAAAUCUUCGUGUAAAAAUGUCAACUACGCUUGCGCAAAUCUUGCUUUGUCCAUCUUUAAAAGAUCUGAAGAAGCUUCGAUUGCUCCCAAACUUUUAGAAAGAAUUCAAAAAUAUUAAUAUAUACCGCAUGAUAUGCGCUCACUGUUUAGAAAAAAAAUGUACUGCUAGAGUUUAUUUUUAAAUAUUCUCAAACUGCAUUCUGUUUUCUUACUAUAUUUUGGGAAAAUCAGUAUAAUUGAGAUGCGAAUAAGGUCGACAAUUAUACUAUUAAAAUGCAGUACAUGUGUUAUUUACGCAUUGCUUAUCUAAAUAGUUUGUUUUAUUUGCGCAUUGUUUAUAUAUAUAUAUAUUUAUUUAUUUAUUUAUUUAUUUAUUUAUCUAUAAUGUAUAACGAGGAUUCCCAAUCUUUUAAAUAUAAUAAAUAUGAAAAAUCGUUCUUCGUUUCUUGCAUGGCCAUUUUAAUAAAGCAGGUUAAGUUUAGGGAUGGCAAAAUCCUCCACGGGUUUGGGGCCCCAUGGAGCCCCACCCCAAAUGGAGAAAUUUUUUAGUAAUUUUUGGGGAAUGGGGUGGGGAAUGGGGGAAAAGUAAUCCCCAAAUUGUUAACGGGGUGGGGUUUGGUAUUGCACUCCCCACCCCACUCCCACCCCAAUCCCCAUUAUAUAUAAAUAUGUUUUUAAUUCUUAUUUAAUAAUUUGUAUUUUAUCAACUAUAAUGUCAAUUAAUGAUUUUUUUUAAUUUUUAUGUAAUAUAAAUAAAAUAUGAAUAAAAGAAAAUUCUACAAUAUUUUUCAACUUUAAAACAUUAAUAUAUUUUCUUUUCUCUUUUAAGGUGCUGCUUUCUUUAAAUAUUUUUCACUUUUAAUAUCAUUUUAAGAUAUUGUUUCAAAUUUUUAGAGAUUUUUUUUUAAAAUUAAAUACUUUAUAAUAUUGUGAUGAUUUUAUCUUAAGUCUCUAAUUUUUAAUUUACUGAAAUCAUAUUUUUAUAUCUACUAUAAAAUAUGUAAAUGGGGAAUGGGGUGGGGAUGGGGGAAUCAUUCCCCACGUGGGGAUUCCCCAUCCCCAACCCACUAAAUUUAUUGGGGAAUGGAGGCAAAAAUUUUUAAUGGGGUAGGCAUCCCCACCCCCACCCCGCCCCAUUGCCAUCCCUAGUUAAGUUAACGUGAAGUUACAUUUUUGAUCAUUCUGCCAUCUGAAGUAAGACCACAAAGUCGUGACUAUUGUGUAAAAGAAAAGUGAAAACAGAUCAAAGGUGAACAGUUUGACCUAUAAUUUCUCUGUUAACAAAACUAUAAUUAUUUUUUAUCGAACCCAAAAAAAGUAAAAAAAAAAAAAAUGUGUCCAAUAAGCGUUUAGCCUCAAUAAUUGCAUGCAUGCACAGAUAAUGUUCAUGAAAAAUCGACAGUGUUGAUGCAAGAAUUUUCGCGCACCAGCAGGAAGGCCGAAUAACCUUGGUGGUGAGGAUCCUGGGUAAAAUACCGGAGAUGGAAAAUGCGGUUGCUAGCUUUUGAAUUGCUUUAAUUUCAUAGAUACGAAAUAUAUCCAAUGAUACAGUAAAGAAAUAACAUAUGAUAGUAACAAGCCAAUUAGCUAGAUCUCUUCUUUUUAAGCUGACCUUGGUCUUUGUCACCUUGAUGAUAAGAUCCUUCGUGGUAGAAAUAGUAAAGAACAGGUGAGGAUCUCCUCAUGAAGCUAUUUCGAAGUCAAUAAGUAAUGGUGAGGUCAGCAAGAACCUUCUCUCUUAAUUAGUUGCUCUUCCCUCUCUCCUCGAUCAUCUCUUGAAUUAUAUGGGUGCUAUCUCCACGAGUUAAAAGACUUAUUUGUGUUCUUUUUUGUAGAGAAAAUAAAAUAUUCCUGUGCUACGUUCCUCAUUCUUAAUCCACCAUAGUUCUUCUGUUGGACAUUUGUUCUAUUUUCGUUAGUUGUGAUUCCUCAUCCUUAAUCCAUAACUCUUCUAUUGGACACAUGUUCUCCUUUCGUUAGUUAUGUUGAGAUUUCUUAAUGAAAUUUUACUAUAAGAAAAAAAAAAUAGUAAGUAGAGAUUAAUAAAAUCACCUUAAGUACUUUUUUGAGAUAAAAGUCACCUCAUGUACUUUAGAAAUGAUUAACUUUGUUUUUAAGUUAUUUUCAUAUUUAGAUAUUGAGCAUGCUGUCGUAUAUUCUAUAUUUUUUUUAUAUCAACAUGGUGGCAUAUUUUUUUUCUUUUUUUUUUUUGGUAUAACAGAUAAUAUAUGUGCCCUCGCCCCUCGCUCUUUGAAAUUCUAAUGCAUCGGAUACAAGGUAAUUCAUAUAAAAAAGACAAUUUUAAUAAGAUAAUCUUCGAAUACUCUCAUUGAUGAUGUGAACCCUUACCCGCAGCCUCUGCAGUAAAGCCUUCACUAGCUGGCUAAGCCCUUAAUUAGUAAUGACACAUUAAUAAUAUGAUCAAUCGACCAUUGAUCUUCUUGGUAUCACAAUGAAUCCCAUGUUUCAAGCAUGCAAUGAAAGAAAAAGGUAAAUGUCCGUUUAUCUGCCCAUUUGUGAGUUUGCUUGGAUUUUCCUUUAAGCCCUCGAGUCAAUGAAGCAAUCAAAAAUCAUAAAAAAGUAAAACGACCCAAAUACAAAACUCUCUCUAUAAAAAGGCAUCCAUUCAGUAGUGAAUGCACACCAAACCAGCCAGUUCGUUAGGGAGCUUUUGAAAUUAUUUCAUCAUGAGCAAAUAUCAAUUAACUAGUUUCUUGAUUGUCCUCUUGAACUUGGGCACUUUGGUCUCUUCUCUAGCUAAUGACCACUCAUAUAAUCUUCCUCCUCCUCUUCCUUCACCAAGCUGUCCCCCACCGCCUCAGUCGCCGAGCCCUAAGCCGCCGCCGCCACCACCACCAAUUGUUUACCCAACUCCUUGUCCCCCAGUUACAAAACCACCACCCACGCCAGAGGUGAAACCCACUCCUCCUCCUCCAGUUGUAAAACCACCACCCACGCCAGAGGUGAAACCCAAUCCUCCUCCUCCAGUUGUAAAACCACCACCACCACCACCAAAACAACAAACUUGUCCAAUUGAUGCUCUCAAGCUUGGUGCAUGCGUCGAUGUCCUUGAAGGUUUAAUUCACACUGGUCUUGCUCGUGAUGUUAAGAAGAAAUGCUGCCCAUUGCUUGACGGGCUAGCAGACUUGGAUGCUGCAAUAUGUCUUUGCACUGCCUUAGAAUUAAGGCUCUAAACCUCAUCGAUAUCCUCGCACCCUUCUCUUUGCAAGUACUUGUCACCGACUGCGGCAAACAUCCGCCAGUAGGAUUUCAGUGUCCUACCAAUUAAUUGGUGACGCCCCAUGCAUACCAUGCAGUUUGCGUGAAAAGGAGAUCUUAAUCGAUCAUAUUAAUAAUUGCAUGUUACUAGUUUCGUUUAUUUUCUCAUAAAAAAAUAAUAAUAAUAACGUGUGGGAGCUUCAAGUUAGUAGUACUUGAAGGCAUGCACGUGCGUGUGUGCGUAUGCCUUAUCCAUCAGUGAUAUCGCUUAUCAGUUGUAAAACCAAUAUUGUAUGUUGUGCAAUCCAAAUAAGGAAAAAAAAAAUGAAUGUUGUGGAAUAAAUAUUAGGGAAAAGGACAUUCAACCCUUCAACGUUUAGGAAAAUAGACAAAAAACCCUUCAACGUUUCAAAAAGGACUUAUAACUCCCUUUCCGUUAAUAAACACCGUUUGUUUUAACAGUAAAUUAUUUUUAAUUUUUAAUUACUAUUAUACCCUUAUAAUAAAUAUAAAUUAAUAUAUUGAUUUGAGACAUGUCACAAUUAAUAAUUUUUUUUAAACUAAAAAUUGAGAUACAAUUACAUUUUUGCCCAAAUUAUUUGCUACAAAUUAUACAUUUCUAAUGAUCAAACCUUUCAUAUGUGAUUAUUACUAAUAAAACGAAAUUUGAUUAAACCCUUUUUCUUUGAGGAAUCAAAACCAUAUUAUUAUUGUUAGAAAGGUAUAAUUUAUAGUAAAUAAUUUUGGCAAAAAAAUAAUUGUAUCUCAAUUUUAAGCUUUUAAAAAAUUAUUAAUUGUGAUAUAUCUCAAAUUAAUAUAUUAAUUUUUUUAUUAUAAGGGUAUAAUAGUAAUUAAAAUUUAAAAAUAAAUUUACUGUUAAAACAAACGGUGUUUGUUAACGGAAAGGGGGUUAUAAGUCCUUUUUGAAACGUUGAAGGAUUUUUUGUCCAUUUUCCUAAACGUUGGGGGGUUAAAUGUCAUUUUUCCUAAAUAUUAUUUACUGACAAAUUGUUUGGCAUUUAUUUUAGGGAGAGUGACAUUUUAUUUCUUCUUAAAAUUUAUUUCUAACACUUUAACUUUUAAUAUAUGUUUAAUACACCAUUUUAUUCAGAUGUUUGAACAGUUACUAACAAAAUACAGUUUUGAACGGUAAAAGUUAUAUUUCAAUAAAUAACUUAACUAAUUUUUAAUCUGCAGAGGUUUGGGCUAGCCAAUUUGGACAUGAGAAUGUCACCUUUAUUCUUCAACGACCUGUAUUUUUUCUAUUGUCGUUUUAACUCCAAAGAUGAAAUGAGAUAAAGAAAAAAAAAAAAAAGCUACUAGGGACUAAAUAGGUAAAUAGAAAGUUUAGGAGGGAUUAAAAUACUAUUCUUCUUUUAGUUUCUAUAUUUUAAGUUAAGUAUUUAUUUAAUCCCUAUUUUUAAAAAGUAUCUCAAGACAAUCAUGUUGCAAAACGUGUUACACUCCUAUCCUUUCUUUAUUUUUUAUUUUUCAAUAAUACAUUUGCAAUAAUAUUCUUGAAGAUAUUAAUAAAUAGGAAAAAAAUAGAAACUUAUCAAAUUAACCUUAAAAGUAAUAUAAAAAAUUACACAAACUUUUAUAUUAUUAUUUUACGUUUAGGAUUAAUUUAAUAAAUUCAUUUUUUAUAAAAUAAUUAUUCAUAAGAUUGUUGUAAGGUUAUUAAAAAUUAUUUUAAUUGACUGAUAUUAAUUUGUUUAUAAAUCAUUAUUAGUAAAAUUGUUGCACGGUACAAAAAAUACUAUUUCUUUCACAUAGAUAUUUAUUGGUUAAUUUACUAAUAAAUGACGAAUAAUUAAUUUACCAAUUAACUUUUUUAUAGAUAAAUUAAUUAAUGUCAAGAAUAUUGUUGGAAGGGCUAAAUAGAAAGAAAAACUAAGGGUAAGAAUGUAACGUAUUUAACUACAAGAGUGUUUUGAAGUAUUAUAUGGGUGCCAAAAGACUUAUUUGUGUUAUUUCCACGAGUUAAAAGACUUAUUUGUGUUCUUGUUUGUAGAGAAAGUAGAAUAUUUAUGUGUUAUGUUUCUCAUUCUUAAUCCAUAACUCUUCUGUUGGACAUGUGUCCUAUUUUCGUUGGCUGUUGAUUUCUCAUCAUUAAUCCAUAACUCUUCUAUUGGACAUGUGUCCUACUUUCGUUAGUUGUUGAGAUUUCUUGAUGAAAUUUUGCUAUGAGGAAAAAUAUAAAAUAGUAAGUAAAGAUUAAUAAAAUCACCUCAAGUAUUUUUUUGAGAUAAAGGUCAGCUCAUGCGCUUUAGAAAUGAUCAACUUAGUUUUUAAGCUAUUUUCAUAUUUAGAUAUUGAGCAUGUUGUCGUAUAUUCUAUUUUUUUAUAUCCACAUGGUGGCAUUUUUUUUUUUUUUUUGGGGGGUAUAACAGAUAAUAUAUGUGCCCUCGCCCCUCGCUCUUUGAAAUUCUAAUGCAUCGGAUACAAGGUAAUUCAUAUAAAAAAGACAAUUUUAAUAAGAUAAUCUUCGAAUACUCUCAUUGAUGAUGUGAACCCUUACCCGCAGCCUCUGCAGUAAAGCCUUCACUAGCUGGCUAAGCCCUUAAUUAGUAAUGACACAUUAAUAAUAUGAUCAAUCGACCAUUGAUCUUCUUGGUAUCACAAUGAAUCCCAUGUUUCAAGCAUGCAAUGAAAGAAAAAGGUAAAUGUCUGUUUAUCUGCCCAUUUGUGAGUUUGCUUGGAUUUUCUUUCAAGCCCUCGAGUCAAUGAAGCAAUUAAAAUUAACGAAAAAGUAAAACGACCCAAAUUCAUAACUCUCCCUACAAAAUGGCAUCCAUUCAGUAGUGAAUGCACUCCAAACCAGCCAGUUCGUUAGGGAGUUUUUGAAAUUAUUUCAUCAUGAGCAAAUAUCAAUUAACUAGUUUCUUGAUUGUCCUCUUGAACUUGGGCACUUUGGUCUCUUCUCUAGCUAAUGACCACUCAUAUAAUCCUCCUCCUCCUCCCCCCGUUACAAAACCACCACCCCCCCAAAAGUUGAAACCCACUCCUCCUCCUCCGGUUUUAAAACCACCACCGCCGGCGCCGCCAAAGCUGAAACCUCCUCCUCCUCCUCUAGUUGUAAAACCACCACCGCCGGCGACGCCAAAGGUGAAACCUCCUCCUCCUCCUCCAGUUGUAAAACCGCCGCCGCCGCCACCGCCAAAGGUGAAACCUCUUCCUCCUCCUCCAGUUGUAAAACCACCACCACCGCCGCCAAAGGUGAAACCUCCUCCUCCCCCUCCAGUUGUAAAACCACCACCACCACCAAAUGUGGGAUACCCACCGCCACCAACACAACAAACUUGUUCAAUUAAUGCUCUCAAGCUUGGUGCAUGCGUCGAUGUUCUUGGUGGUUUAAUUCACAUUGGUCUUGGCGACGGUGCUAAGGAGAAAUGCUGCCCAUUGCUUUAUGGGCUAGCUGACUUGGAUGCUGCAAUAUGUCUUUGCACUGCCAUUAAAAUUAAGGCUCUGAGUCUCAUCGAUAUUCUCGUACCCAUCUCUUUGCAAGUACUUGUCAGCGACUGUGGCAAACAUCCGCCAGCCGGAUUUCAGUGUCCUAUCAAUUAAUUGUUGACGCCCCAUGCAUAUCAUGCAGUCUACGUGAAAAGGAGAUCUUAAUAGAUCGUAUUAAUAAUUGCAUGUUACUAGUUUCGUUUAAUUUCUCAUAAAAAAAAUAAUAAUAAUAACGUGUGAGAGCUUCAAGUUAGUAGUACUUGAAGGCACGUGCAUGUGUACGUUUGUCUUAUUCAACAAUGAUAUCGCUUAUUAAUUGUGACACCAAUAUUGUAUGUUGUGCAAUCCAAAAAAGAAAAAAAAUGAAAAAUGAAUGUUGUGGAAUAAAUAUUAUUUAUUGAUAAAUUGUUGGCAUUUUUUUUAGGGAGAGUGACAUUUUAUUUCCUCUUAAAAUUUAUUUUUACCAGUUUAAUUUUUAGUAGAUGUUUAAUACCCUAGUUCAUUCUGAUGUUUGAACAGUUAUUAAAAAAAUACACUUUUGAAAGGUAAAAGUUACAUUUUAAUAAAUAAUUUAACUAAUUUUAAUUUGCAGAGGUUUGGGCUAGCCAAUUAGGACAUGAAAAUGUCACCUUUAUUCUUCAGCAAUGUAUUUUUUUCUAUUAUCAUUUUAACUCCAAUGAGGAAAGGUGAUAAUAAAAAAAUUAAAAAAAAAUUAGCUACUAGGGAUUUAACAGGUAAAGAGAAGGUUUAGAAAGGAUUAAAAUUUUAUUCUCCUUAUAUUUCCCAUAUUUUGAGUUAAGUGUUCUUUUAGUCCUUAUAUUUAAAAACUAUCUCAAGACACCUUGUUAAUUAUUAUGUUGCUCUCGUAUUCUUAAUUUUUCUAUUCUUUUACAAUAAUAUCCUUGUCAUAAUAUUCCCGAGGAUGUAAUAAUAUCCUUGAGGAUAUGAAUAAAUAGAAAAAGUAAUAAUUUAUCAAAUUAACCAUAUUAUUAUUUUACUUUUAGGAUUAAUUUAUUAAAUUCAUUUUUUAUAAGACAGUUAUUCAUAAGAUUGUUGUAAAGAUAUUAAAAAUUAUUCUAAUUGGCUAAUAUUAAUUGUUAUAAAUCAUUAUUAAUAAAUUUGUUGCACAUGUACAAAAAAUACUACUUUUUUCACACUGAUAUUUAUUGGUUAGUUUACUAAUGAAUAACUAAUAGUUAAUUUUGUUAGCCUAAAAUGGUCACACAUAUUGUAAUUUUGAUGAUAACAAACACGUGUCUUAAGUGAUUUGAAAAAUAUUGUAUUUCACAUUUUGACUAGUUAUUGAAAGAUAAUAUUUAUAAGGAAGUGAAUCACGUGAAAUCAAACUUAAGACACUCAACGGAAAAUGGCGUGAUCAAGAAUAAAGUUUAGAGCUUAACAGACUCAUUAUUGCAACAAUUCUUGUAAAGCCGGUAUGAUUUAAUAUAUGUAUGACUUAGUAUUUGAGAAACUCAAGAUUUUUAAUAAAUCAUCAUUUUUCAUAAACUAAAGGUUUUAUAAUUAUAAGCCAAGUAUUUUAUGAAGUUAGUUAUUUUUCAAGAUGUGGACUAAAAUGAAAAAGUUUUGUAAUCUUUGAUUUUAAUAAGUGUUGUUUUGAAUUUUGGAAUUGGACUUAUUUGUAAAUAUUUGAAACGUUUUGAGCUAUACUAUAAUUUAUAAACGUAUGAGGGCCUGAGUGUAGAUAUCCUAAAUAGAUAGAAUGUUAGCGGCUAACGGCCUGUGGACUAGCGGCUAGCCACUUGAGGAAAACUUCACAUUUUCAAAUUUUGGACUAAAAUGAAAAAAGUUUUGAAAACUUUAAAAUUUAUAAGUAUUAUGUUAAAUUUUGAAAAGGACUGUUUUGAAAAUUAUUAUCAUGUAUUGGGUCAUAUCACAAUUUUAAAAAUUUUUAGAAAUAACAAGUAUUAUUUAGAAAUUAUGAGAUUGGACCGUUUGUAAAGUUCUAUGACGUUUUGGGCCAUAGUAUAAUAAUUGUUGCAAAAUUCAAAUUUAAUGGUAACUUUACUGUUCUGAAGCGGGGAGCCAGAUAAAUUAAGCGGCUAACCGCUUGGUUGCUGGAAUUUGCCUAUAACGGCUAGCAACUUCAAUUUCAAGACUCUUGCAAGUAUAAAUAAGUGUAAACAACAUAUUUGGAGCUUUCAAAUUAGAAAAUCAUUAUAGAUUAAAUCUUCAUUGAGAUAUCAUUUGUUCAUUCACUCUAAAAGAAAGUUCUUUGUUGUAAUCUUUAUUUUCUUAUCAAAUUUGUGAGUGUAUAAGUGUGAGAAAUACUUGAGCGAAGAGAUUGAGAGAUAAUCUCUUGGUUGCAAAGAUUUAUUGACACCUUAGAAGUCAAUUGUAAAGAACUUGAAGUUAUGGGAAGCUUGGAUAGUGAAAUCCUCGAGCUUGGUUGACUUGAAGGCGUGGACGUAGGCGGGGAUUGCCGAACCACGUAAAAAUUGUUGUGUUUGCUCUCUCUUCCCUUACUCUUUUAUUAUUGUGCUUUAUUGAAGUUAUUGUUUUUUAUUUGAUUAAUGCAAUAGAUUAAAUUGUUGUGCGACAUAUUUAGCGUAAGUUUUAAAAUCUCAAUUCAACCCUUUCUUGGGUUGCAUAACUUGCAUUUCAAAUUUACCAAUUAACUUUUUUUAUAGACAAAUUAAUUAAUGUCAAGAAUAUUAUUGGAAGGGUUAGAUAAAAAUAAAAAGUAAGGGUAAGAAUGUAACAUAUUUAACUAUAGGAGUGUUUGAGGCACUUUUUAAAGUAUAACGGCUAAAUUGGCAUUUAAAUCAAAAUAUAGAGAUUAAAUGAGUAUUUAAACAUCAUUAUUAAUUCUUUCUUUUUCUUGGUUUUUCUUAUUUUUAUUCCCUGUUGCUGCUGAGGUUCAUUUGAAAAAUAGUUAUAUUAAUUUUUUUUUUUAUAUUUUCAAAGAAUAUCUAAGCCUAAUUUGAUAACAAUAUCUAUUUCAUCUGCGACAUUAAGAUGUAAAAGAAAGCACAUUUUUUAAAUUUUUUAUGGCCUUUAAUAUCAAUCUAAUGUGAUGUGUAUAUCAGAAGGUAGAGAUAAUUAUUCAUUUAAAGAUUGCCAAUAUUUAUUUAAUAAUAAUAAUUUCCUUUAUUGCAUGGCCAAUUUAAAAUAAGAGAUCGUAUGACUAGUAUGUGAAAAAGAAAGAAACGACUAAAACACAUUAGCAGACAACAAUUCCAUAAAAAAAAUUAUACUUGGGGUGAAAAGAAAAAUUACCUCUCAAAAAAAAAAACUAGUCAAUAAUAAUAACAUAAUAAAAAAAAUUAUUUGUACAAACAAAUGUGACAUAACAAUAUUCUUUGAAUGAAAACAUAAAUAAAUAAAUAAAUAAAAAUAAUGUGAGUUAAGUGGCAUUUUUAUUCAACCAAUGCUGAAUGCUAUAUUAAUUUGUACCUUGUACAAGAUAAUUUAUAAAAGAAGCUUGCAACUCUGUCAUCGCUGAAAAAGAAUUAUAUAUGUGUGCUUGAAUUUAAGAUGCUCAUGCAAUCGUUUGGAAAGAGGUUCUCCAACGGAGAUAUCAAAGUUGCUCACUCAUGAUAUGUUCAUGGGUCUCCCACGCUCUUUUUUUUUUUUAAUGGUUUCUCUCCUGUAAUUUUAGUUGCAUUUGCUUCCUUUUUUUUAAUAUUAUGGUUUUUUUUACGAUAUUGAAUCUUUUUCUUUUAGAGAUAAGAUUCAUUAUGUCUUUAGGUUAAGAUUCAAUGCUCAAGUGAACUUGUUCGCAUUCUAAUUCUGAGCUAAUUUGAUUUACUUUAGUUUUUUAAUUUUAUAUUAAUGAAUUCUCUCGCCUUGUGGAAAUUCGAUCCCUUUUUAAAAUAAAAAUGCCAUAAUGUUGAUAUAUUUCAGAGUCAAAGAUUAAUUUCUUCAUUUCAAUUUUUCUCGAAGUCAGUCACUUUGGCCUUACUCUGCCACGAUAUGUUCUUGACUUUCAAAAGGUGGCACCACGGUCAUCGUUAAAGAAAAUAUUUACAAAUAAUAGUGAUGAAAAUAGACAAUGCACUCAAUUUUCUCUGAAUUAAGCAAAAAAUCAAUAAAAUGUCUAUGAAAUUCCUCCUUCCGCCAAAAUUUAUGAAAAAAGAAAAUGACCCAUUCAUUUUAUUUUGUACAUUUGUGCAAAUUGCCCCUCUGGGAAAAGAUGUUUGAGUAUUGCUGAAUACCUGUAAAUUAAAAAAACGAAAAUAUCUGUGCAGAGUUUGUUACCUUUUAUGGUUUAUAAUAACAGAAAAUUUUGAACCCCAUAUUUGAGAAGAUUUUAGCAUGCUUUCUCAAUCAUGGGCAAAACAAAGCACUACAUGUUAAUAAUAUAAUGCCUCAAUUAUCAGAACCGUGUUUUCUUGAUUCUCUUUAUCCUCCAAACUUUGAAAAGAUUAUCUCCUAAUCCUUGCUGACAGGAACCCAAUGCCAUGUGGUCAGUUUUGGUGACUGUAUGUAUGAUUAUUCUACAAUGAAGAUAAAUUAACCACAAAAACUAACUACUUCUUCUCCCAGCCCUAAACCACCAUCUGACGAACCGAAACCUUAUAGAAAGUGGAAAAUUUGUGAAAAAAAGAUAAAAGAAAAAUAUUUUACAGCUAUAUUUAGGAUUCCCUAAAGUUUUUAGUGAUAGAAACCCAAGCGAUGUGUAAUUUCAAUCUAUUUUAUGAGGAUGCAAGCCUUUAUUAUAAAAUAUUAUAAAAUAAUUAAAAAUUAGGAUUCCCUCACAAUCUUAAACUUCUAAACUAAAUUCAAAUGUGUGAUAGAUUGUUAAUAAAUAAAAGUAUAAAAGAUCUUUUAAAGUUCAAAGUGGCUUAAAUCACCAGAAAAUCUAAUCUCGAAAAUUAUUAAAUGAUUCAAAAAAUAUCUCAUAUUACCUAAAAAUAGUUAGUUAUUAGACUAUGAAAACAAGCUUACGGCAACCCUUAAUUAAACUUCUGUGCCUUUCAAUGAAAACAAGAAAAAUUUGAAGUUUAAAUUAGAGUUUCUAAAAAUUAUAUUAAAAAACUAUUAAAGUUUCAUAGUAGUGCUAGGAAAUAACUUCAAAUGCUAUUUUGAAAUCCAUAAGAGAGGAAUUGGCAAAAAUAUAACUGUUCUUAUAGUCUAAGGGUGUGUUUGACACAUUGUAUUGUAUUAUGUUGUAUUGCAUUAUUUUAAUGCUGGUGUAUUGUAUUAUGAUGUAUUGCAUUAGCACUGUAUUAUAAUAAUGUUGUACAAUAUUUGAUGCUACACUUUAUUAUAUUAAUGUUUUUGUGAUUAACUUAAAUUAUAUAUUUAGAAAAUAAAAUUUAUUAGUACCUAGAAAAAUAUAAAAUAUAGAAGUCUUAAAUUUUAGAAAUUUAACAUUAUUUUUUAGUAUAAAUAUUAAAAAAACAUUUUUUUUCAUAAAGAUUGAAGCUUAUAGCCUUAUAAUCGACAACAUAACAUUUAUUUUAAAUUAAUAUUAUUUAAAUUUAUUCAUAUAUAAAUAUUUUUAUUAAAUUUUUCUAUAUUAAUUACUAUAAUAUAAUUAAAUAAUGUAAUAUCAAGCUAUAUUCUUAUUUUUAUAUAUUAUUUAAGUACUUAUUAAUCAAUUUGAUAUAUUAAUUAUUAUAUAAUUAAAUAAUACAUUAUUUAGUAAUAUUUUUAAUAUAAUAAAAAUUAAAAUAUGAAUAACAAUUUAUUAAUUUAUAUGAAUAAUUAUGAUAUAAAAAUAAAGAAAAUAAAAAUUUAUAUUAUAUUUAAAAGUUAUAUUAUUUAUUAUUAUUAAAAAAACAAAAGCAAAAGUAAAAAAAAAAAAAAAGAGGCAGCAAAUGCAAAAGCACAAAAGCUAAUGCGGCAGUUUCCCGACUCCCAGUCGGGUUUAGCUAAUGCGGCAGUUUCCCGCAUUAGCAUACCCCUUAAUCCCUUGUAAAAUUUUGCCAACAUGAUAUUGGUAUUAAGCUAAUGUGAACAGUAUUUUAAUACACUAUAAUACCAUGCACCAA